UGCCUAACACAUGCAAGUCGAACGAGAUCUUCGGGUCUAGUGGCGCACGGGUGCGUAACGCGUGGGAAUCUGCCCUUUGGUUCGGAAUAACAGUUGGAAACGACUGCUAAUACCGGAUGAUGACGAAAGUCCAAAGAUUUAUCGCCAGAGGAUGAGCCCGCGUAGGAUUAGCUAGUUGGUGUGGUAAAGGCGCACCAAGGCGACGAUCCUUAGCUGGUCUGAGAGGAUGAUCAGCCACACUGGGACUGAGACACGGCCCAGACUCCUACGGGAGGCAGCAGUGGGGAAUAUUGGACAAUGGGCGAAAGCCUGAUCCAGCAAUGCCGCGUGAGUGAUGAAGGCCUUAGGGUUGUAAAGCUC
RNAcentral lists this ribosomal RNA (360 nucleotides) under uncultured organism. RNAcentral's name for it is "bacterial SSU rRNA". It matches the Rfam family "Bacterial small subunit ribosomal RNA", at positions 45 to 433 of the family's 1533-position model. The record is from RNAcentral.